AGAGUUUGAUCCUGGCUCAGAUUGAACGCUCGCUGCAGGCUUAACACAUGCAAGUCGAGCGGAGAUGAGGUGCUUGCACCUUAUCUUAGCGGCGGACGGGUGAGUAAUGCUUAGGAAUCUGCCUAUUAGUGGGGGACAACAUUCCGAAAGGAAUGCUAAUACCGCAUACGUCCUACGGGAGAAAGCAGGGGAUCUUCGGACCUUGCGCUAAUAGAUGAGCCUAAGUCGGAUUAGCUAGUUGGUGGGGUAAAGGCCUACCAAGGCGACGAUCUGCAGCGGGUCUGAGAGGAUGAUCCGCCACACUGGGACUGAGACACGGCCCAGACUCCUACGGGAGGCAGCAGUGGGGAAUAUUGGACAAUGGGGGGAACCCUGAUCCAGCCAUGCCGCGUGUGUGAAGAAGGCCUUAUGGUUGUAAAGCACUUUAAGCGAGGAGGAGGCUACUGAGACUAAUACUCUUGGAUAGUGGACGUUACUCGCAGAAUAAGCACCGGCUAACUCUGUGCCAGCAGCCGCGGUAAUACAGAGGGUGCGAGCGUUAAUCGGAUUUACUGGGCGUAAAGCGUGCGUAGGCGGCUUUUUAAGUCGGAUGUGAAAUCCCCGAGCUUAACUUGGGAAUUGCAUUCGAUACUGGGAAGCUAGAGUAUGGGAGAGGAUGGUAGAAUUCCAGGUGUAGCGGUGAAAUGCGUAGAGAUCUGGAGGAAUACCGAUGGCGAAGGCAGCCAUCUGGCCUAAUACUGACGCUGAGGUACGAAAGCAUGGGGAG
This 766-nucleotide ribosomal RNA is filed under the name uncultured bacterium. RNAcentral describes it as "bacterial SSU rRNA". It matches the Rfam family "Bacterial small subunit ribosomal RNA", at positions 8 to 768 of the family's 1533-position model. The record is from RNAcentral.